GCGUGCGACUGCGGAAACAUUAACGAGUUCUGAAAGCGGAGGCUUGUUGCUGGUGCGGAAACGUACAUGUGCGCGGCCUUUGUGCUCAAUCCACUCAACCCCUGUGCACCUUGCGAAGCUAGUAGCUUUUCUCUCUAUCUGUUCGUUCUGUAUCCUCUUUGACUGUAUGUGAGAGCCUUGCCCUGUGCGGGUUCAAACUUGGUUGAAGGGCGGCGGAAGAAGGGACGGUGCGAAGGAAGUGAAAGCUUUGAUUUUUAUUACAAACCCACUAUAAUGUCUUGUUGAAUGUAAUGCUCCUUGUGAGCGAAACUAAAUACAACUUUCAACAACGGAUCUCUUGGCUCUCGCAUCGAUGAAGAACGCAGCGAAAUGCGAUAAGUAAUGUGAAUUGCAGAAUUCAGUGAAUCAUCGAAUCUUUGAACGCACCUUGCGCCCCUUGGUAUUCCGAGGGGCAUGCCUGUUUGAGUGUCAUGUUAAUCUCAAACCACGAGUCUUUUUAACUAGAGGCUUGUCCGGUUUGGACUUGGAGGUUACCGCUGGCUCCCCUUUGUAGUUGGCUCCUCUGAAAUGCAUUAGCCGGACUUUGGUUCGCAUCUACGGUGUAAUAGUAACUUGUAUUCGCCGGGUGCUUGCCUAGGGAGUCCGCUUCUAAUCGCCCCUUGGUACAUUAGUGUACACGGGCAGGGUCUCUCUGUGACCUUCUUGAAUACUUUGACCUCAAAUCAGGUAGGACUACCCGCUGAACUUAAGCAUAUCAA
RNAcentral lists this ribosomal RNA (758 nucleotides) under Fomitiporella vietnamensis. RNAcentral's name for it is "eukaryotic LSU rRNA". The stretch from base 318 to 471 matches the Rfam family "5.8S ribosomal RNA". The record is from RNAcentral. Lineage: Eukaryota; Fungi; Basidiomycota; Agaricomycetes; Hymenochaetales; Hymenochaetaceae.